GAUGAGACUAUAUAGUAUCAGCUAGUUGGUAAGGUAAUGGCUUACCAAGGCUAUGACGCUUAACUGGUCUGAGAGGAUGAUCAGUCACACUGGAACUGAGACACGGUCCAGACUCCUACGGGAGGCAGCAGUAGGGAAUAUUGCGCAAUGGGGGAAACCCUGACGCAGCAACGCCGCGUGGAGGAUGACACUUUUCGGAGCGUAAACUCCUUUUCUUAGGGAAGAAUUCUGACGGUACCUAAGGAAUAAGCACCGGCUAACUCCGUGCCAGCAGCCGCGGUAAUACGGAGGGUGCAAGCGUUACUCGGAAUCACUGGGCGUAAAGGGCGCGUAGGCGGAUUAUCAAGUCUCUUGUGAAAUCUAAUGGCUUAACCAUUAAACUGCUUGGGAAACUGAUAGUCUAGAGUGAGGGAGAGGCAGAUGGAAUUGGUGGUGUAGGGGUAAAAUCCGUAGAUAUCACCAAGAAUACCCAUUGCGAAGGCGAUCUGCUGGAACUCAACUGACGCUAAGGCGCGAAAGCGUGGGGAGCAAACAGGAUUAGAUACCCUGGUAGUCCACGCCCUAAACGAUGUACACUAGUUGUUGGGGUGCUAGUCAUCUCAGUAAUGCAGCUAACGCAUUAAGUGUACCGCCUGGGGAGUACGGUCGCAAGAUUAAAACUCAAAGGAAUAGACGGGGACCCGCACAAGCGGUGGAGCAUGUGGUUUAAUUCGAAGAUACGCGAAGAACCUUACCUGGGCUUGAUAUCCUAAGAACCUUAUAGAGAUAUGAGGGUGCUAGCUUGCUAGAACUUAGAGACAGGUGCUGCACGGCUGUCGUCAGCUCGUGUCGUGAGAUGUUGGGUUAAGUCCCGCAACGAGCGCAACCCACGUAUUUAGUUGCUAACGGUUCGGCCGAGCACUCUAAAUAGACUGCCUUCGUAAGGAGGAGGAAGGUGUGGACGACGUCAAGUCAUCAUGGCCCUUAUGCCCAGGGCGACACACGUGCUACAAUGGCAUAUACAAUGAGACGCAAUACCGCGAGGUGGAGCAAAUCUAUAAAAUAUGUCCCAGUUCGGAUUGUUCUCUGCAACUCGAGAGCAUGAAGCCGGAAUCGCUAGUAAUCGUAGAUCAGCCAUGCUACGGUGAAUACGUUCCCGGGUCUUGUACUCACCGCCCGUCACACCAUGGGAGUUGAUUUCACUCGAAGCCGGAAUACUAAACUAGUUACCGUCCACAGUGGAAUCAGCGACUGGGGUGAAGUCGUAACAAGGUAACCGUAGGAGAACCUGCGGUUGGAUCACCUCCUUUCUA
This 1292-nucleotide ribosomal RNA is filed under the name Campylobacter jejuni. RNAcentral describes it as "bacterial SSU rRNA". It matches the Rfam family "Bacterial small subunit ribosomal RNA", at positions 224 to 1533 of the family's 1533-position model. The record is from RNAcentral. Lineage: Bacteria; Pseudomonadati; Campylobacterota; Epsilonproteobacteria; Campylobacterales; Campylobacteraceae.